AAACUAAUUUAAUUUGGCGGCAUUUUAUCUAAUUAGAGGAAUCCGUCCAUUAAUCGACAAUACACGAUAAAUUUCACUUCAAUUUAAAACUUAUAUACCGCCAUAUUAAGAAUUAAUUCAAAAAUAUUUCUCUAAAUAAUAAAUAAGAAAUUAGGUCAAGGUGUAAUUUAUAUUAAAGAAUAAGAUAGAUUACAUUAAAUAAAAUUUAAAGAACAUAAAUAAAUAUAUUUAUAUAAAUAAGAAUUUAACAGUAAUAUUCAAACAAUAUUACAAUAUGAAAUAGAUCAUAAAUGUGUACACAUCGCCC
This 307-nucleotide ribosomal RNA is filed under the name Draconarius paraspiralis. RNAcentral's name for it is "partial 12S ribosomal RNA". Lineage: Eukaryota; Metazoa; Arthropoda; Arachnida; Araneae; Agelenidae. The record is from RNAcentral.